Molecule: ribosomal RNA, 305 nt
Filed under: uncultured bacterium
Lineage: Bacteria
Description: bacterial SSU rRNA
Rfam family: Bacterial small subunit ribosomal RNA
Source: RNAcentral
ACCUACGGGGGGCAGCAGUAGGGAAUCUUCCACAAUGGGCGAAAGCCUGAUGGAGCAACGCCGCGUGGGUGAAGAAGGUCUUCGGAUCGUAAAACCCUGUUGUUAGAGAGGAAAGUGCGUGAGAGUAACUGUUCACGUUUCGACGGUAUCUAACCAGAAAGCCACGGCUAACUACGUGCCAGCAGCCGCGGUAAUACGUAGGUGGCAAGCGUUAUCCGGAUUUAUUGGGCGUAAAGGGAAAGCAGGCGGUCUUUUAAGUCUGAUGUGAAAGCCUUCGGAUUAACAGGAGUAGUGCAUUGGAAACU